This 425-nucleotide ribosomal RNA is filed under the name uncultured bacterium. RNAcentral's name for it is "partial 16S ribosomal RNA". It matches the Rfam family "Bacterial small subunit ribosomal RNA", at positions 354 to 796 of the family's 1533-position model. The record is from RNAcentral.
GUGGGGAAUCUUGCGCAAUGGGCGAAAGCCUGACGCAGUCAUGCCGCGUGAAUGAUGAAGGUCUUAGGAUUGUAAAAUUCUUUCACCGGGGACGAUAAUGGCGGUACCCGGAGAAGAAGCCCCGGCUAACUUCGUGCCAGCAGCCGCGGUAAUACGAAGGGGGCUAGCGUUGCUCGGAAUUACUGGGCGUAAAGGGCGCGUAGGCGGACAGUUUAGUCAGAGGUGAAAGCCCAGGGCUCAACCUUGGAAUUGCCUUUGAUACUGGCUGUCUUGAGUACGGGAGAGGUGAGUGGAACUCCGAGUGUAGAGGUGAAAUUCGUAGAUAUUCGGAAGAACACCAGUGGCGAAGGCGACUCACUGGCCCGUUACUGACGCUGAGGCGCGAAAGCGUGGGGAGCAAACAGGAUUAGAUACCCGGGUAGUCC